GGGCCGUUAGCUCAGCGGUAGAGCAUCCGGCUUUUAACCGGUUGGUCGCAGGUUCGACCCCUGCACGGCCCACCA
RNAcentral lists this transfer RNA (75 nucleotides) under Chromatiales bacterium. RNAcentral's name for it is "tRNA-Lys". It matches the Rfam family "tRNA". From Rfam's summary of the family: Transfer RNA (tRNA) molecules are approximately 80 nucleotides in length. Their secondary structure includes four short double-helical elements and three loops (D, anti-codon, and T loops). Lineage: Bacteria; Pseudomonadati; Pseudomonadota; Gammaproteobacteria; Chromatiales. The record is from RNAcentral. RNAcentral also lists the same sequence under 1 other name.